This 71-nucleotide transfer RNA is filed under the name Ovis aries (sheep). It matches the Rfam family "tRNA". Rfam says of the family: Transfer RNA (tRNA) molecules are approximately 80 nucleotides in length. Lineage: Eukaryota; Metazoa; Chordata; Mammalia; Artiodactyla; Bovidae. The record is from Rfam by way of RNAcentral.
UCUCUCGUGGCUCAGUUGGUAAAGAAUCUGCCUGCAAUGCAGGAGACCCAGAUUCAAUCCCUGGCGGAGUA